This 620-nucleotide ribosomal RNA is filed under the name uncultured bacterium. Its description in RNAcentral is "bacterial SSU rRNA". It matches the Rfam family "Bacterial small subunit ribosomal RNA", at positions 28 to 692 of the family's 1533-position model. The record is from RNAcentral.
AACGAACGCUGGCGGCAGGCUUAACACAUGCAAGUCGAACGCUCACCUUCGGGUGGGAGUGGCAGACGGGUGAGUAACGCGCGGGAACGUACCCUUUGGUUCGGAAUAACCCAGGGAAACUUGGGCUAAUACCGGAUACGCCCUUCGGGGGAAAGGUUUACUGCCGAAGGAUCGGCCCGCGUCGGAUUAGCUAGUUGGUGGAGUAAAAGCCUACCAAGGCGACGAUCCGUAGCUGGUCUGAGAGGAUGAUCAGCCACACUGGGACUGAGACACGGCCCAGACUCCUACGGGAGGCAGCAGUGGGGAAUAUUGGACAAUGGGCGCAAGCCUGAUCCAGCCAUGCCGCGUGAGUGAAGAAGGCCUUAGGGUUGUAAAGCUCUUUCAGCGGGGAAGAUAAUGACAGUACCCGCAGAAGAAGCCCCGGCUAACUUCGUGCCAGCAGCCGCGGUAAUACGAAGGGGGCUAGCGUUGUUCGGAAUUACUGGGCGUAAAGCGCGCGUAGGCGGGUGAUUAAGUCAGGGGUGAAAUGCCGAGCCUCAACCUCGGAACUGCCUUUGAUACUGGUCGCCUGGAAUUCGGGAGAGGUAAGUGGAAUUCCGAGUGUAAAGGUGAAAUUCGUA